RNAcentral lists this transfer RNA (72 nucleotides) under Camelus bactrianus (Bactrian camel). It matches the Rfam family "tRNA". Rfam says of the family: Transfer RNA (tRNA) molecules are approximately 80 nucleotides in length. Their secondary structure includes four short double-helical elements and three loops (D, anti-codon, and T loops). The record is from Rfam by way of RNAcentral. Lineage: Eukaryota; Metazoa; Chordata; Mammalia; Artiodactyla; Camelidae. RNAcentral also lists the same sequence under 2 other names.
GAAUAUAUAGCUCAGUGGUAGAACGCAUGCUUGGCAUGCAUGAGGUCCUGGGUUCAACCCUCAGUAUCUCCA